Molecule: long non-coding RNA, 209 nt
Organism: Suricata suricatta (meerkat)
Lineage: Eukaryota; Metazoa; Chordata; Mammalia; Carnivora; Herpestidae
Exons: 2
Source: RefSeq, a predicted model, not a curated record
AACACACGUAAACCAAGUCUACACUAGGAACAAAGGAAGUGGAAAUCUGCCGGUGUCAGGUUGAAAUACACUGAAAUUGGCUGGAAAACCCCUGAAGGGCCUGAGUUCUGUGUAUUUCCAUGAGAAUCUAGUGUAAGAAGGAUAAAGAAGAAGUGGAGAGAAUUUCUUCAAGAAGGCGGAGAGAAAUUAAAAGUAGUUCUACUCUUAAA